UUGAACGCUGGCGGCAGGCCUAACACAUGCAAGUCGAGCGGAUGAGUGGAGCUUGCUCCAUGAUUCAGCGGCGGACGGGUGAGUAAUGCCUAGGAAUCUGCCUGGUAGUGGGGGACAACGUUUCGAAAGGAACGCUAAUACCGCAUACGUCCUACGGGAGAAAGCAGGGGACCUUCGGGCCUUGCGCUAUCAGAUGAGCCUAGGUCGGAUUAGCUAGUUGGUGAGGUAAUGGCUCACCAAGGCGACGAUCCGUAACUGGUCUGAGAGGAUGAUCAGUCACACUGGAACUGAGACACGGUCCAGACUCCUACGGGAGGCAGCAGUGGGGAAUAUUGGACAAUGGGCGAAAGCCUGAUCCAGCCAUGCCGCGUGUGUGAAGAAGGUCUUCGGAUUGUAAAGCACUUUAAGUUGGGAGGAAGGGUAGUAACCUAAUACGUUGCUACUUUGACGUUACCGACAGAAUAAGCACCGGCUAACCUCGUG
RNAcentral lists this ribosomal RNA (483 nucleotides) under uncultured bacterium. RNAcentral describes it as "bacterial SSU rRNA". It matches the Rfam family "Bacterial small subunit ribosomal RNA", at positions 30 to 507 of the family's 1533-position model. The record is from RNAcentral.